AUCCAGCUGACAAGUUCUAAAUAGGACGAAAUGCACAACCUGGAU
Molecule: non-coding RNA, 45 nt
Filed under: Trichobilharzia regenti
Lineage: Eukaryota; Metazoa; Platyhelminthes; Trematoda; Strigeidida; Schistosomatidae
Source: RNAcentral